Molecule: long non-coding RNA, 889 nt
Organism: Syngnathoides biaculeatus (alligator pipefish)
Lineage: Eukaryota; Metazoa; Chordata; Actinopteri; Syngnathiformes; Syngnathidae
Exons: 3
Source: RefSeq, a predicted model, not a curated record
UGAGCCGCUUAUCCUCACAAAGGUGAUGGGAGUGCUAGAGCCAAUCCCAUCUGUCAUCAGGCAGGGUACAUCCUGAACUGGUUGCUAAGGAUGGGGGUGAAUUUGCAAAUUCUACAGGCGAGGCCAGGAUUCGAACCCCUUCCUAAGAACUGUGAGGCCAAUGCUCUAGCCAGUUGCUCCGCCGUGCCGCGAGGUCUACACACAUUUCUGGGAUCCUUUACUAAUCAAAGGCACGUGGACGUAACCCCCACCCACGCGACACGCGCCCCCUGAGAGGUGGUCUUUGGUGCCGUGGCGUCGCGCUCCCACGGCGGCGCUUGCACUUGAAAGGGUUUCGCACGUACGCGUGGACGUUGCGGAGCUCCAGCACGUGGCACGAAAGCAGAUGGCACGCGUGGAUUUUUACAAGUGGGAACGCAAACUUGUGAAAUGGUCCCGCGCGCGCACUGAGGCGGACUAAUUGCCAUUUGUCUGUUAGUCAUUAUUGGUUGGUAUGCACUGCGGAAAUUAACUUCAAAUUAUUUUGUUAAAUAUUGUUACAUUCACAGUAUUUGGAAAAGUUGACGUUGUAGGAAUUCUAUUUAAUUUCCUGUGAUUAUCUCAUUCAUUUUGCUGUAGUGUGGUUGCGCAAAUUAUGUUCAAUUUGAAUUUGACGUCAAAAAUAAUAAUCGGAGAUGAAUGGGCCGCGUGAGCGUGCGUCGGACUUGAGGCCGCUGAAGGCCGGGGAACAUUUUCAGUUAGCCUGCAUGGACAAACAUGGACUUUUCUAUCCUAUCGAGUACUAAGACAACUUUCAUAAAAUAAGCGGAUUUAUUCCACUAAAUUUUGAGAUAAUUGGCGGCAGCUAAAUUCAUGUAGUAGAAAAUACAAAAGUAAAAACUCUCGCGGU